AUUGAACUGACGAGUCCCAAAUAGGACGAAAUGCGCAUCCUGGAU
Trichobilharzia regenti is the source of this 45-nucleotide non-coding RNA. Lineage: Eukaryota; Metazoa; Platyhelminthes; Trematoda; Strigeidida; Schistosomatidae. The record is from Rfam.